CGACCCCUGAAGGGUACCGUUGGAUCCAUUCACGAACCACCCUAAUAUUACAAACGAACAUCUUCCGGAAAGGGAAUAUAUAAGGGACCAAGAAAUAGAAACUGGUCAGAGCUAGUCUGAUCUCCACACAACAAGCUACAAAAUGAACAAGUGUCUCGCCCUGAUCCUUAUCCCAUGUCUGGUGGCCUACGUUGUGGCCAUGCAGUACCCGACCGGAUCCGGUUACCCCGGAUACGGAAUGACAGGAGGAUACGGAAGCGGAUACGGUCUGAGUAACUACUACUACAACUACGGAAACAACCAGCAGAAGAAGAGCUCCAACUUCGCUCUCCUGAUCUCUGGUCUCCUGUUGCUGUUCGCCUUCAACAUCACCGGAACUCUGACUGGUUAAACGUAAACCAAGGAGGUGGAGAUCGGCGAAGCACUCAUACAAAUUAUGAUUACACACGACUGCCAAACAUAGAUGUGAUAUUGCGCGAUGUAUCUGUAUUGCUGUUAUUAUAUGUAUUUAUUGUCAUAAUUAAAAUAUCAUCUAAAGUA
Long non-coding RNA from Pecten maximus, 540 nucleotides. RefSeq lists it as uncharacterized. The record is from RefSeq and is a predicted model, not a curated record. Lineage: Eukaryota; Metazoa; Mollusca; Bivalvia; Pectinida; Pectinidae. The transcript has 4 exons.